This 219-nucleotide ribosomal RNA is filed under the name Acanthamoeba genotype T4. RNAcentral describes it as "partial 18S ribosomal RNA". It matches the Rfam family "Eukaryotic small subunit ribosomal RNA", at positions 968 to 1096 of the family's 1831-position model. Lineage: Eukaryota; Discosea; Longamoebia; Acanthamoebidae. The record is from RNAcentral.
UUUCAUUAAUCAAGAACGAAAGUUAGGGGAUCGAAGACGAUCAGAUACCGUCGUAGUCUUAACCAUAAACGAUGCCGACCAGCGAUUAGGAGACGUUGAAUACAAAACACCACCAUCGGUGCGGUCGUCCUUGGCGUCUCGGUCCUUCACGGGGCCGGGGCGCGGGGGUGGCUUAGCCCGGUGGCACCGGUGAAUGACUCCCCUAGCAGCUUGUGAGAA